CCAUACAUAUCACAAUUAUUCUCUACAACUUCCGCUAGUACAUGACACUACUACAUGUAAUAUCCACUUUUUACCAACAAAAAACUACUAGAUGAUCCUUAACAACAUCCACUGCUUACUAAUAUUCUUAACAAUAUCCACUGGCUAUAAGUAAUAUCUACCUUCUGCCAACAAAAUACUAUUAUAUAAUCCAUUGUUAAUAUUAAAUUACUACUUUCUCCAAAAUAUAGCCCCAAAAGAAGACAGUUACAUCACAUUACAAAAGAAGAUGUUGAGAAAAUGACCUUUACAACAUGUUGCCACUCCUUCACCUUGCUAAGUUUGCUUCUUGCCUCCUAACGGUUGCAUUCCUUUGUAUGUGAUAAGAGUUAUCAGUGGCUGGGUCGACAUAUGUUCCAUGUCCCUGCAUGGCGAUGUUUAGCUCCCUUUUACGUAUUUGGGACUGCGUGUCCAAAUCUACUCAAGCCUAUGAAACAAAAUCACAUAAAUUACAAGUUUUUAAAUUUUUGGAUUUUGACCUAAUGACUAAUGUAACAUUGUUACACAUUCUACAUACCUGAAUUUCAAGUUCAACAUGGCAACGAUGAGUAUUGUGUCUAGUGGUGCCACACUUCCCACAAAUUAUUGUCUUUUUAACAGGCCUGUUUUGAACCAUUUGUUUCCUCUCUUUGGUUCUCCUCCUUCUAACCCCACCUUAUUCAACCUGUUUAAUUUGUGAUUCAGUUGAACCAUCAGCGUGUUAACCAGUUCCCUCCCCGUUGCUUUUUUGGUGGUCAUUCCCCCCUUCCAUUUCCCAUUUAGAACAGUUCUUUGUGUUAUGUCCCCAAUUUUCACAAGACUUGCAAUGCAUCCGAAUUCCUCUCCUAUCAAUCACUGUUCCAACCCCACUUUUGGUAGGUCUGACCUCCAGUUUUUGUGCUUCCUUACGACGUGAUUUUUUAGGACUUUCAGGAAGGAUCCUCGUAAAUGAUGGAUGAAUAACGGAUCUUUGUGCUUCCUCCCACGCUUGAUUGCCAGGUAACAUAGGAAUCCCACCGCUGGGUCUGCCAUUGGUUAUAAAUAAGAUGAACAACCUCUCAAGCUAAGGCAAUAUCGUUUACCAGGGUACGUACCUUUUCUGUAUGAGUUAUGUGUCCAAUUGCUGUUCAUUAUAAAGAGAAGGAAAAGCAGCAGUUAAACUGGAUCCAUCUCAAGUUCAUUUAUCAACAUCAGAAUGAAGACUGUAACUUAGAGAGAAUUGCCUGUAAUAGGAGCAGUGCCUCCAAGUGAUUCACACCUGUUCCAAAACCAUCAUCCUUAAUUUCCCCAAGAUUCAGACUAAGAUUCAUAUCAUUUAACAGCAACAAUAAGUGAACAGUUACCUGGAUUUCCAGGGACAAAGAGGACAUGCAGCGUUGGAUUGUCAGAUUGAAUCUCCAGCAGUUCAGUUGUAUAACUACUCAGAAGAAGAAGAGGGGGAAACUCAGAAUUGAGAAACCAAAACACAAUAAGAUAAAACAACAGAGGAGGAUUUUCUUUCACGCCAUAUCUAACUACCUGGAAACCUUGCACACCCGCAGAUGCGCAGCCUUAAGAACUCGACCGCCCAAAUACUCAACCCAUUUCUGAAUUCACAGAACCUAAUCCACCCAAUUUGCUGAAAGCCUGAAAGGUCCAAGAUUGGCAAUUCAGACCAAUGCGGCUGCGAGACAAAUGGGAAAUGCGUGAAACAGGAAGAAUUUAACUCAUGCAUCUGAGUAAACAAUACAUAAUUUGACAACUGUCGGAGAGACUGAACCGAUUAGCUAACACUAGUUUAGCAGCAUGCAGUGACGAAGACGCAACGAUUUGAAUGGAGGCAACAGGAGGAGAAGAUGUUUGAUGAAGGUAGAAAACGAAGCACCACAUUACUUAGGUGUAGUUUUCCGCCAUGGAAUUCGAAUCCCAGUGGAGUUGUCAAUGAUUG
Molecule: long non-coding RNA, 1945 nt
Filed under: Linum usitatissimum (flax)
Lineage: Eukaryota; Viridiplantae; Streptophyta; Magnoliopsida; Malpighiales; Linaceae
Description: long non-coding RNA (LUSI_LNC005630)
Source: RNAcentral